CCCAUGGGGGGCGGGCAUACCAUGCAAGUCGAGCGGUAACAGGGGAAGCUUGCUUCUCGCUGACGAGCGGCGGACGGGUGAGUAAUGUAUGGGGAUCUGCCCGAUAGAGGGGGAUAACUACUGGAAACGGUAGCUAAUACCGCAUAAUCUCUUAGGAGCAAAGCAGGGGAACUUCGGUCCUUGCGCUAUCGGAUGAACCCAUAUGGGAUUAGCUAGUAGGUGAGGUAAUGGCUCACCUAGGCGACGAUCCCUAGCUGGUCUGAGAGGAUGAUCAGCCACACUGGGACUGAGACGCCAGACUCCUACGGAGGCAGGCAGUGGGGAAUUGCACAAUGGCGCAAGCCUGAUGCAGCCAUGCCCGCGGUAUGAAGAAGGCCUAGGUGUAAGUACUUUCAGUUCGGGAGGAAGGCGUUGAUGCUAAUAUCCAUUCACGAUUGACGUUUACCGCAGAAGAAGCACCGGCUACUUCCGUGCCAGCAGCCGCGGUAAUACGGAGGGUGCAGCGCUUAAUCGGAAUUUACUGGGCGUAAAGGCGGCACCGCGGCGGUUAAUUAGUUAGAUGUGAAAUUCCCCCGGGCUAACCCUGGGGAAUGGCCAUUAAAACUGGUUCAGGCUAGAGUCUUGUAGAGGGGGGUAGAUUCCCAUUUGUUAGCCGGUGAAAUGCGUAGAGAUGUGGAGAAUACCGGUGGCGAAGGCGGCCCCCUGGACAAAGACUGACGCUCAGGUCGAAAGCGUGGGGAGCAAACGGAUUAGAUCCCUGGUAGUCACGCGUAAACGAGUCGAUUUGAAGGUUGUCCUUGAGGAGUGGCUUUCGGAGUAACGCGUUAAAUGACCGCCUGGGGAGUACGGCCGCAAGGUUAAAACUAAAUGAAUGACGGGGGCCCGCCAGCGGUGGGCAUGGGUUUAAUUGAGCAAGGAAGAACCUUACCUCUCUUGACAUCGAGAAUUAGCAGAGAGUUUGUCCUUUGGAACUUGAGACAGGUGCUGCAUGGCGUGUCAGCUCGGUUGUGAAAUGUUGGGUUAAGUCCCGCAACGAGCGCAACCCUAUCCUUUGUUCCAGCUAUGUGGGAACCUCAAAGAGACUGCCGGUGAUAAACCGGGAGGAAGUGGGGAAUGACGUCAAGUCAUCAUGCCCUUACGAGUAGGGCACACACGUGCUACAUGCGCGUAUACAAGAGAAGCGACCUCGCGAGAGCAAGCGGAACUCAUAAUACGUCGUAGUCCGGUGGAGAUCUGUGCAAUCUCAGACUCCAUGAAGUCGGAAUCGCUAGUAAUCGUAGAUCAGAAUGCUACGGUGAAUACGUUCCCGGGCCUUGUACACACCGCCCGUCACACCAUGGGAGUGGGUGCAAAAGAAGUAGGUAGCUUAACCUUCGGGAGGGCGCUUACCAACUUUGGAUACAAAUUUU
This 1409-nucleotide ribosomal RNA is filed under the name Providencia rettgeri. RNAcentral describes it as "partial 16S ribosomal RNA". It matches the Rfam family "Bacterial small subunit ribosomal RNA". Lineage: Bacteria; Pseudomonadati; Pseudomonadota; Gammaproteobacteria; Enterobacterales; Morganellaceae. The record is from RNAcentral.